This 460-nucleotide ribosomal RNA is filed under the name uncultured bacterium. Its description in RNAcentral is "partial 16S ribosomal RNA". It matches the Rfam family "Bacterial small subunit ribosomal RNA", at positions 338 to 795 of the family's 1533-position model. The record is from RNAcentral.
CCUACGGGGCGCAGCAGUGAGGAAUAUUGGUCAAUGGGCGUAAGCCUGAACCAGCCAAGUCGCGUGAGGGAUGAAGGUUCUAUGGAUCGUAAACCUCUUUUAUAAGGGAAUAAAGUGUGGGACGUGUCCUGUUUUGUAUGUACCUUAUGAAUAAGGAUCGGCUAACUCCGUGCCUGCAGCCGCGGUAAUACGGAAGCUCCGAGCGUUAUCCGGAUUUAUUGGGUUUAAAGGGUGCGUAGGCGGCCGUUUAAGUCAGCGGGGAAAGUCUGUGGCCCAACCAGCGUAGUGCCGUUGAAACUGGGAGGCUUGAGUAUGUUAGAGGCAGGCGGAAUGCGUGGUGUAGCGGUGAAAUGAUUAGAUAUCACGCAGAACCCCGAUUGCGAAGGCAGCCUGCCAGGCCAUGACUGACGCUGAUGCACGAAAGCGUGGGGAUCAAACAGGAUUAGAUACCCGUGUAGUC